UACGUAGGGUGCGAGCGUUGUCCGGAAUUAUUGGGCGUAAAGAGCUCGUAGGCGGUGUGUCGCGUCGGCCGUGAAAACCUGCAGCUUAACUGUGGGCUUGCGGUCGAUACGGGCAUCACUGGAGUUCGGCAGGGGAGACUGGAAUUCCAGGUGUAGCGGUGAAAUGCGUAGAUAUCUGGAGGAACACCGGUGGCGAAGGCGGCUUCCUGGCCUGUUCUUGACGCUGAGGCGCGAAAGCUAGGGUAGCAAACGGG
This 254-nucleotide ribosomal RNA is filed under the name uncultured bacterium. RNAcentral describes it as "partial 16S ribosomal RNA". It matches the Rfam family "Bacterial small subunit ribosomal RNA", at positions 524 to 776 of the family's 1533-position model. The record is from RNAcentral.